AUUGAACGCUGGCGGCAGGCCUAACACAUGCAAGUCGAACGAGUGGCGGACGGGUGAGUAAUGUCUGGGAAACUGCCCGAUGGAGGGGGAUAACUACUGGAAACGGUAGCUAAUACCGCAUACCAUCAGAUGUGCCCAGAUGGGAUUAGCUAGGUGGUGGGGUAAAGGCUUACCAAGGCGACGAUCCGUAACUGGUCUGAGAGGAUGAUCAGUCACACUGGAACGGAGACACGGUCCAGACUCCGACGGGAGGCAGCAGUGGGGAAUAUUGGACAAUGGGCGAAAGCCUGAUCCAGCCAUGCCGCGUGUAUGAAGAAGGUCUUCGGAUUGUAAAGCACUUUAAGUGGGGAGGCGUUACCCGCAGAAGAAGCACCGGCUAACUCCGUGCCAGCAGCCGCGGUAAUAC
This 406-nucleotide ribosomal RNA is filed under the name uncultured bacterium. RNAcentral describes it as "partial 16S ribosomal RNA". It matches the Rfam family "Bacterial small subunit ribosomal RNA", at positions 30 to 526 of the family's 1533-position model. The record is from RNAcentral.